AGUGAACGCUGGCGGUAGGCCUAACACAUGCAAGUCGAACGGCAGCACAGUAAGAGCUUGCUCUUACGGGUGGCGAGUGGCGGACGGGUGAGGAAUACAUCGGAAUCUACUUUUUCGUGGGGGAUAACGUAGGGAAACUUACGCUAAUACCGCAUACGACCUACGGGUGAAAGCAGGGGAUCUUCGGACCUUGCGCGAUUGAAUGAGCCGAUGUCGGAUUAGCUAGUUGGCGGGGUAAAGGCCCACCAAGGCGACGAUCCGUAGCUGGUCUGAGAGGAUGAUCGGCCACACUGGAACUGAGACACGGUCCAGACUCCUACGGGAGGCAGCAGUGGGGAAUAUGGGAAAAUGGGCGCAAGCCUGAUCCAGCCAUACCGCGUGGGUGAAGAAGGCCUUCGGGUUGUAAAGCCCUUUUGUUGGGAAAGAAAAGCAGCAGGUUAAGACCCCGCUGUUCUGAGGGUACCCAAAGAAUAGGCACCGGCUAACUUCGG
RNAcentral lists this ribosomal RNA (491 nucleotides) under uncultured bacterium. RNAcentral's name for it is "partial 16S ribosomal RNA". It matches the Rfam family "Bacterial small subunit ribosomal RNA", at positions 29 to 506 of the family's 1533-position model. The record is from RNAcentral.